This 324-nucleotide ribosomal RNA is filed under the name uncultured Bacteroidota bacterium. RNAcentral's name for it is "bacterial SSU rRNA". It matches the Rfam family "Bacterial small subunit ribosomal RNA", at positions 28 to 351 of the family's 1533-position model. Lineage: Bacteria; Pseudomonadati; Bacteroidota. The record is from RNAcentral.
GAUUAACGCUAGCGGCAGGCCUAAUACAUGCAAGUCGAGGGGUAGCAGGGUAGCAAUACCGCUGACGACCGGCGCACGGGUGAGUAACACGUAUGCAACCUACCUAUAACUGGGGAAUAGCCUUCCGAAAGGAAGAUUAACACCGCAUAACAUCACGAGAUGGCAUCAUUUUGUGAUCAAACCUCCGGGGGUUAUAGAUGGGCAUGCGCAGCAUUAGCUAGUUGGUGAGGUAACGGCUCACCAAGGCGACGAUGUUUAGGGGGUCUGAGAGGAUGAUCCCCCACACUGGUACUGAGACACGGACCAGACUCCUACGGGAGGCUG